UAAUCUAAUCUGGUAAAGCGAAUGAUUAGAGGCCUUAGGGUCGAAACGACCUUAACCUAUUCUCAAACUUUAAAUGGGUAAGAACCACACCUUUCUUGGUAUGAAGGUGUGGUUGUGAUAUAAUGUGCCCAGUGGGCCACUUUGGGUAAGCAGAACUGGCGCUGUGGGAUGAACCAAACGUAAUGUUACGGUGCCCAAAUUGACAACUCAUGCAGAUACCAUGAAAGGCGUUGGUUGCUUAAAACAGCAGGACGGUGGACAUGGAAGUCGUAAUCCGCUAAGGAGUGUGUAACAACUCACCUGCCGAAGCAACUAGCCCUUAAAAUGGAUGGCGCUUAAGUUGUAUACCUAUACAUUACCGCUAAAGUAAAUGGUUUA
RNAcentral lists this ribosomal RNA (378 nucleotides) under Musca domestica (house fly). Its description in RNAcentral is "eukaryotic LSU rRNA". It matches the Rfam family "Eukaryotic large subunit ribosomal RNA", at positions 996 to 1371 of the family's 3401-position model. The record is from RNAcentral. Lineage: Eukaryota; Metazoa; Arthropoda; Insecta; Diptera; Muscidae.